RNAcentral lists this ribosomal RNA (801 nucleotides) under uncultured bacterium. RNAcentral describes it as "bacterial SSU rRNA". It matches the Rfam family "Bacterial small subunit ribosomal RNA", at positions 8 to 798 of the family's 1533-position model. The record is from RNAcentral.
AGAGUUUGAUCAUGGCUCAGAUUGAACGCUGGCGGCAGGCCUAACACAUGCAAGUCGAGCGGUAACACAGAGGAGCUUGCUCCUUGGGUGACGAGCGGCGGACGGGUGAGUAAUGCCUGGGGAUCUGCCCGAUAGAGGGGGAUAACUACGGGAAACUGUAGCUAAUACCGCAUAAUGUCUACGGACCAAAGUGGGGGCUCUUCGGACCUCAUGCUAUCGGAUGAACCCAGGUGGGAUUAGCUAGUUGGUGAGGUAAUGGCUCACCAAGGCGACGAUCUCUAACUGGUUUGAGAGAAUGACCAGUCACACUGGAACUGAGACACGGUCCAGACUCCUACGGGAGGCAGCAGUGGGGAAUAUUGCACAAUGGGCGCAAGCCUGAUGCAGCCAUGCCGCGUGUGUGAAGAAGGCCUUCGGGUUGUAAAGCACUUUCAGCGGGGAGGAAGGGUCACUAGUUAAUACCUAGUGGCAUUGACGUUACUCGCAGAAGAAGCACCGGCUAACUCCGUGCCAGCAGCCGCGGUAAUACGGAGGGUGCAAGCGUUAAUCGGAAUUACUGGGCGUAAAGCGCACGCAGGCGGUUUGUUAAGUCAGAUGUGAAAUCCCCGAGCACAACUUGGGAACUGCAUUUGAGACUGGCAAGCUAGAGUCUCGUAGAGGGGGGUAGAAUUCCAGGUGUAGCGGUGAAAUGCGUAGAGAUCUGGAGGAAUACCGGUGGCGAAGGCGGCCCCCUGGACAAAGACUGACGCUCAGGUGCGAAAGCGUGGGGAGCAAACAGGAUUAGAUACCCCGGUAGUCCAA